This 694-nucleotide ribosomal RNA is filed under the name Actinomycetales bacterium TLI104. RNAcentral's name for it is "bacterial SSU rRNA". It matches the Rfam family "Bacterial small subunit ribosomal RNA", at positions 143 to 849 of the family's 1533-position model. The record is from RNAcentral. Lineage: Bacteria; Bacillati; Actinomycetota; Actinomycetes; Actinomycetales.
ACAAGCCCUGGAAACGGGGUCUAAUACCGGAUACGAGCCUCCACUGCAUGGUGGAGGUUGGAAAGCUCCGGCGGUGCAGGAUGAGCCCGCGGCCUAUCAGCUUGUUGGUGAGGUAACGGCUCACCAAGGCGACGACGGGUAGCCGGCCUGAGAGGGCGACCGGCCACACUGGGACUGAGACACGGCCCAGACUCCUACGGGAGGCAGCAGUGGGGAAUAUUGCACAAUGGGCGAAAGCCUGAUGCAGCGACGCCGCGUGAGGGAUGACGGCCUUCGGGUUGUAAACCUCUUUCAGCAGGGAAGAAGCGAGAGUGACGGUACCUGCAGAAGAAGCGCCGGCUAACUACGUGCCAGCAGCCGCGGUAAUACGUAGGGCGCAAGCGUUGUCCGGAAUUAUUGGGCGUAAAGAGCUCGUAGGCGGCUUGUCACGUCGGUUGUGAAAGCCCGGGGCUUAACCCCGGGUCUGCAGUCGAUACGGGCAGGCUAGAGUUCGGUAGGGGAGAUCGGAAUUCCUGGUGUAGCGGUGAAAUGCGCAGAUAUCAGGAGGAACACCGGUGGCGAAGGCGGAUCUCUGGGCCGAUACUGACGCUGAGGAGCGAAAGCGUGGGGAGCGAACAGGAUUAGAUACCCUGGUAGUCCACGCCGUAAACGGUGGGCACUAGGUGUGGGCAACAUUCCACGUUGUCCGUGCCGC